GGAGUGGAACGGGUGGUCGCUGGCCGAAGGUAUGAUGCGGCUGGAGGAAAGUCCGGGCUCCACAGGGCAGAACGCCGGGUAACGCCCGGCGGGGGUAACCCCAGGGAAAGUGCCACAGAAAGCAAACCGCCGGACAGGACCUUGUGUCCUCCGGCAAGGGUGAAAGGGUGCGGUAAGAGCGCACCGCGCUUCCCGGUAACGGGAGCGGCAUGGUAAACCCCGUUCGGAGCAAGACCAAAUAGGGGGACGUUCAGGGCGGCCCGUCCAGUCCCCGGGUAGGUUGCUUGAGGUGGUCGGUAACGACCAUCCCAGAUGAAUGGCCACCUCCCGCCCAUCCUGGAACGAUGGACGGGUACAGAACCCGGCUUACAGUUCCACUCCGGUU
This 385-nucleotide RNase P RNA is filed under the name Magnetococcales bacterium. RNAcentral's name for it is "RNase P RNA component class A". It matches the Rfam family "Bacterial RNase P class A". From Rfam's summary of the family: Ribonuclease P (RNase P) is a ubiquitous endoribonuclease, found in archaea, bacteria and eukarya as well as chloroplasts and mitochondria. Its best characterised activity is the generation of mature 5'-ends of tRNAs by cleaving the 5'-leader elements of precursor-tRNAs. The record is from RNAcentral. Lineage: Bacteria; Pseudomonadati; Pseudomonadota; Magnetococcia; Magnetococcales.